AGCACCGUGGCGCAGUGGGAGCGCGAUAGGCCUAUAACCUGUAGGUCCGAAGAUCGAAACUUCGCGGUGCUA
This 72-nucleotide transfer RNA is filed under the name Exocentrus adspersus. Its description in RNAcentral is "tRNA-Met". It matches the Rfam family "tRNA". From Rfam's summary of the family: Transfer RNA (tRNA) molecules are approximately 80 nucleotides in length. Their secondary structure includes four short double-helical elements and three loops (D, anti-codon, and T loops). The record is from RNAcentral. Lineage: Eukaryota; Metazoa; Arthropoda; Insecta; Coleoptera; Cerambycidae.